CCCCUAGAUGUUCUGGGCCGCACGCGCGCUACACUGAACAGUUCAACAAGUCUUAACCUUGGCCGAUAGGUCUGGGUAAUCUUUGAACGCUGUUCGUGAUUGGGAUAGACCUUUGCAAUUAUGGGUCUUCAACGAGGAAUUCCUAGUAAACGCAAGUCAUCAGCUUGCAUUGAUUACGUCCCUGCCCUUUGUACACACCGCCCGUCGCACCUACCGAUUGAAUGGUCCGGUGAAAUCUCGGGACGGCGGCGUGGUCGCUUGCGUCCGACUGCUGAAACUUGAUUAAACCAUAUCAUUUAGAGGAAGGUGAANUCGUAACA
This 320-nucleotide ribosomal RNA is filed under the name uncultured eukaryote. RNAcentral's name for it is "partial 18S ribosomal RNA". It matches the Rfam family "Eukaryotic small subunit ribosomal RNA", at positions 1470 to 1796 of the family's 1831-position model. The record is from RNAcentral.